This is a long non-coding RNA of Culex pipiens pallens (northern house mosquito), 2649 nucleotides long. RefSeq lists it as uncharacterized. The transcript has 2 exons. NCBI's taxonomy places the organism in Eukaryota, Metazoa, Arthropoda, Insecta, Diptera, Culicidae. The record is from RefSeq and is a predicted model, not a curated record.
UAGAGUACUUUUUCAAAAGGUCCUAUGCGCCAAAAGUAAACAAACUGAGUUAUACAAUGCAUGACGUUCUGCAUAUCCGAAACUACACUAUCCUCAAACCCGAUUUCUUCUAAGUAUUUAAUUUUUAAAAUUAUUAGCGAAAUGCAAAAUAACCUAUGAGCAUUCUCUUAAAUUUUCAUACAAAAUAAUUUACGUCGUUUUACCUCUCAGUGUCCUAUGUGCAUUCAGUAAAAUGAUGCACAUACGACAAUAACAAAUCGACCUAUGUACAAUUUUAAAUAUAUUUCAAUCAUUAUGCACAUACGCUAAUAUAAUAACGACGUAUGUACGCAUUUUAUUGAAUAAUUAGAAAGUAAUGAUAGAUUUUUUUAUAUCCAUAUAUCUUUUUAAAAAUAAUGUUUGCCUAGGUUCCGGUUAACGUGUAGACGUCAGCUGUAAGAGAGUAUGAAAUGUUUCAAUGCCUGACACAGCAAAAGAGAAGAGCAAAAUUUAACCAAUGAGCUCUCUCUCCCGAAUCUGGCGGAUACGACUCCCAGCAUGACAUACCAAAACAACUCAUAAAACAGCAUAAAAUAUGUUUUUUGUUUUGGUUGAUAGGAUCCCGGACAGAUCAUUGUUGUGGACUGUCUGAGUUUUUAAAGAAAAGUGUCGGAGGGCGAAGGAUUGCGGCAACAAAAAAAUACGCACUGCUUUACGGUACCUGGUCCCCCGACAACGACCAACCAAGCGGCGGCGGACGUGGUACGGAGGACGCUUCUAGAAACCUUAAAAAAGAGCGCGCCAUCCGCUUCGUGGUCAUGGUCUGUCAGAGAACCUCAAGACGAACGUCGAGUACAUUAAGAUUGCCGGAACCCGGGCGGAUCGGCUAUCAACAACUUCGCCAACGGCAAACUCAUAAUUACGCACGCAGAUGCAGGUCGUCUGGGCCGCUUGGGACAACGUGUCCGAGAAUCCAAAAAUGCACGAGCUGCUGAGACUAGUGUUUCUGAGGCCACCGGAGUGGGCGGAAACAUAGAGGUUGCGGCGGUUAAGGGGUUACAUACAUGUAGAAAAUCACAAAAUGUCAUAUUACAGAUUUUUUUUGAAUCCACUAAAAGAUGAUUAGGAAUAUUUUUUUCUGUGUAUAUUUCGGCAGUGAUACAACCAAAUGUCUUCAAAUAUGUUUUGAUAAUAGAUGAAAAUGUGUAUUUUAAUGCCCUGAUAACAGUUUUUUAAUAAAAUUAAGUGUGUGCUCACACCAACCUCUGACUUUUUUUUAUCGAUUUACAUGUAUGUAACAAAGGCUCUGCAGAAGCGCUCCGAUCACGACGUGUUGUUCCUGACUACGCAGGGUAUCGUCCAGCUGGAGCAGCGUCACCGUAACGGAAUACGCGGUCGCAUGGCGGCCGUGCACGAUCUGUCAGUACUACGCCGUGGUUUUUCAGUUCCAGCAUGGACACUACGACAAGUGCGUCGCGGCUUCGUCGUCGUGAUGAUCUUUUCUCACAGCCAGCCAUAAACGAACUGGUUUUACGGAGGAAUUGGCUGCUAAUCUGAGCGAACUUACCUCGCUGAAGAAUCGCUUGUGACUCUUCGCGCUCGACAGGUCCUAAUAGCUGCUCAUCAGCCAGCUUAAGAACUACGUCACAACCAGAUAAAGUCCAUCUGUCUGUCUAAGAGCACGAAAACCUGCAGUGGUUGAUCUUUUCGGAUGUUUCCAUCUUGGAUAUUCCGCACGACUACCUUUCGACCUUUCUACGACUACUCGUUUCUACCUUUCUUAUCGUGCAGUCUGCAAUGCAAUGCUGGAUUACGUCCAUUGGGCGUACUCGUCCUAUGAUUUGACCUGCCUGCAGCAUCUGGAGCUGUCCGGCAAAGUCGUUCAUGACCCUGGCAGUUUAGCGGCGUUCGAUUCAUACGAGCACUUUACCCAGUACUCGGAUGAGAUCCUGGACUUGCUCGGGGACAUGACUUCGAGGCGCGCGAUUCGGACCGCCGCAUAAGCAUCUCGAUCAACGCAAUUGAUUCCAGUUUUGUGCGACUUGCGCUCUUCAAGUCCCAAGCUGACCUCACCCCUCGGCCAAGCAACAGCCGUAGAACCCGUUCGAAGAUCCAACCCCUGAGAUCGGAAUAAUUCUUUGGUGAAGAGCAAGGUUCUCAGGGCCGCUCCUGAAUCAACAUCUUGCAUCCUUCGUUAGGCCGUAGGCGUCAUCCAUAAAGUACGUCACGCUCUAAGGGGAGGGGGGGGGGGGGUGGAGAGUUGUCGCAAGUGUGACAAGGGAGAGGGGGGGGGGUACGUGAGACUGUGACGUGAUAAUCGGACAUGGUAAUAAUCCGUGACGUGGUAAUCACUUUGGCAUAAAAGUUGUGCGCAUGCAGUGCUGCUGGGGGGCUAUCGGAACACUUGUUUAUAAGUGUUAAAUAAUAUGUUUACACUACUUGGGCCAAAAACUUUCAAAAACGAAAGAUUAAAAAAUGUAUUAUGUGCGCUCACAGCUCCAUACGCGGAUAAGACAAUUUACCAUGUCAAAUUAUCCUAUGCGCCAAAGUAAACAAUAUUGAUUGUUUACAUUGGCGCAUUGGUUAAUUUGGCAUCGUAAAUUAUCCUACCCGCCACCCAUCUGACAGAAUGCUCAUUGGUAAAUAACGGCUUCUCUCUCCUCUCACGCG